RNAcentral lists this ribosomal RNA (272 nucleotides) under uncultured bacterium. RNAcentral's name for it is "partial small subunit ribosomal RNA". It matches the Rfam family "Bacterial small subunit ribosomal RNA", at positions 26 to 282 of the family's 1533-position model. The record is from RNAcentral.
AGAAUCAACGCUGGCGGCGUGCCUCAGACAUGCAAGUCGAACGCGAAAGUCCCCUUCGGGGGACAAGUAGAGUGGCGCACGGGUGAGUAACACGUAGGUAAUCUACCUUUGGAUGGGGAAUAACAACCGGAAACGGUUGCUAAUACCGCAUAAUGCAGCGGCACCUAAUGGUGACAGUUGUUAAAGCGGGGGAUCGAAAGACCUCGCGUCUGAAGAGGAGCCUGCGGCGGAUUAGCUAGUUGGUAAGGUAUGGCUUACCAAGGCUACGAUCC